RNAcentral lists this ribosomal RNA (443 nucleotides) under uncultured bacterium. RNAcentral describes it as "partial 16S ribosomal RNA". It matches the Rfam family "Bacterial small subunit ribosomal RNA", at positions 338 to 795 of the family's 1533-position model. The record is from RNAcentral.
CCUACGGGAGGCAGCAGUGGGGAAUAUUGGGCAAUGGGCGCAAGCCUGACCCAGCAACGCCGCGUGAAGGAAGAAGGCUUUCGGGUUGUAAACUUCUUUUCUCAGGGACGAAGAAAGUGACGGUACCUGAGGAAUAAGCCACGGCUAACUACGUGCCAGCCGCCGCGGUAAUCCGUAGGUGGCAAGCGUUAUCCGGAUUUACUGGGUGUAAAGGGCGUGUAGGCGGGACUGCAAGUCAGAUGUGAAAACCACGGGCUCAACCUGUGGACUGCAUUUGAAACUGUAGAUCUUGAGUCCUGGAGAGGCAGACGGAAUUCCUAGUGUAGCGGUGAAAUGCGUAGAUAUUAGGAGGAACACCAGUGGCGAAGGCGAUCUGCUGGACAGCAACUGACGCUGAGGCGCGAAAGCGUGGGGAGCAAACAGGAUUAGAUACCCGAGUAGUC